CCCUCUGUAGACCCCAAGGAUGAAGUGACAUACAUCUCAGUAACUACAAGGGCCAGAAAUUUGGCUCAUUCAUCUAUCCAGGUCAUGCCCAUAGAAAACAUGACCUCAGCAGACCCAGAUGUGAUCUACAGCAACACGACCACACAGAGGAAAAAGGCUGCAGCAAAUCCACACGAGGUCAUCUACAGCACCGUGGCUCGGAAAUAGAAGGUGGCAAGAUGCCCCCAGACCCUACCAGACGGACCCUGGCACUGCAGACAGGACAUCACAGGGACACCAAGUCUCUGGAGACAAGGAGACACCCAGAGCUCCUGGAUGAGCUUCACAUAAACACAGGCAGAACAUGCAAACUCUACACAUACAGUGUCGGGACUGGAAUCAAACUGUAUAUCACUGUAUACUUUUAUCCAUCCGUCUUCCAUAAGCUCUUUUGAUGGUUGUGGGGAACCAAUCCCAUGAUACACAGGGUAUCAGGCAAAGAGGCUCCUGCCUGGUGUGACAUCACCACAGAACAUGAAGCCUUUGUGAUGUUAAUGAUAUCAUUUGACACCUGGUGCUUCUCUUGGCUGCACAACAUGUUAAGGAAGAUGACAGCAGUAUCAUCAAGUUUUUGGUUCACCCUCAUUUAACACACCUGAUUCAACUCCUUGUGCUUAUUACCACACAACUCUUGAGCUGGAUCAUUAGUGGCGGAAGGGGGAAAGAACUAAGCUACACAGGGCUCCGGCCCCCCAGGACUGGAGUUUGAGACCCAUGGCUUAGGGAGUUGAGCAUCCAGUUUAUAAUUCAUGGGGCCCGUGGUCCUGGGUUUGAGACUGGCUGAGGUCAAUCCCAUCUGUUAUUUUGUAUUUAUUGUUUGUUCCCCAGUGUUUUCUGUUUUCCUUUUUGAGUUUUCCUUUUCUUUGUUUGUCUUCCAUGUGCUUUGGUUGUACUUUGUUUUCUUGUUUCUUUUUCUAGUGUAGUAUGUCUCCGGUUGUUCAAUUUUAGGUCUUUCUUUCUAUUUCUUUCUAUUUCCAUUCUUAGUCUCUGUGCCUAUUGGUUGUUAUUGGUUCCACCUGAUGCCCGUUUCCUUGUGCCAGUGUUUGUUGAUUGGGUAAUUGAUUGUCUUACACCUGUUCCUCGUUUGCCCCAGUUUUCAUUGUAUAUAGGUACAGUAUAUAGAAAAUGUAUGGAUGAAUUGCAUUCACAGAUUUUUAUGAAAAAUAGUGAGGUCCAAAAAAAUAACCCAACUAGUCAAGUUUUAUCAGUAUUUGCUAUACAUGUGAGGUUUUUUGGUAUAGCAAAACAAGGUACACACACACGCGCACAAUUUAUUGAUCCUGACAAUAUAUAUUACAGCUGCAAUAUAUAUAAUUAGACAGCAGCAUACCACAGUACACAUAGCUUAUGUCUAAGAACGGAAAAGUUUAUGAUGAAUAAAAAUAGAAAACUCA
Paramormyrops kingsleyae is the source of this 1433-nucleotide non-coding RNA. Lineage: Eukaryota; Metazoa; Chordata; Actinopteri; Osteoglossiformes; Mormyridae. The record is from RefSeq and is a predicted model, not a curated record.